CCUACGGGCGGCAGCAGUGGGGGAUAUUGCACAAUGGGGGGAACCCUGAUGCAGCGACGCCGCGUGGGUGAAGGAGCGUUUCGGCGCGUAAAGCCCUAUCGGCAGGGAAGAAGAUGACGGUACCUGACCAAGAAGCCCCGGCUAACUAUGUGCCAGCAGCCGCGGUAAUACGUAGGGGGCAAGCGUUAUCCGGAUUUACUGGGCGUAAGGGGGGCGGAGACGGCAAUGCAAGCGCGGAGUGAAAGCCCGGGGCGCAACCCCGGGACUGCUCCUGGCACUGCAAGGCUGGAGUACAGGAGGGGCAGGCGGAAUUCCUGGGGUAGCGGUGAAAUGCGUAGAUAUCUGGAGGAACAUCAGUGGCGAAGGCGACUAUCUGGCACAUAACUGACGCUGAGGAGCGAAAGCGUGGGUAGCAAACAGGAUUAGAUACCCGAGUAGUC
Molecule: ribosomal RNA, 440 nt
Filed under: uncultured bacterium
Lineage: Bacteria
Description: partial 16S ribosomal RNA
Rfam family: Bacterial small subunit ribosomal RNA
Source: RNAcentral